GGAGGCUUGUGAUAUGCUGCAGACACAACUCCAGGGGAGACAAAAGAGUAUGUCCUGGUGACAAAAGAGAAGGACACAGGUAAAAUCUUUUGCCAUAUGUUGAUGGCAAAAAUAUAUAAUUUAAUAUUCUCAGUUUGCUGGAACAGAUGCGCUAAAGGAGUAUGUCAGCUAAGCGUUUGAUUGACAAAGUCAGACUUGUUCAGCUAGAUAAAUAUUCUAGGUUGCAGUUUACAUGGCACAAGUUUGAGCAGGUCACGGUAAAGUUGGUUAUCUUACUCCCUUAGUUCAGUGGCACAGGUGAGAGUAAUUUUGAAGUAAUACCAUCCAUACUGAAAGGGGUUGUAGUGGGACAGUCUCAGAUUCAGCUUCAUUGAUGCCAUAUCCUGUUAUUUAAUAGUGCAAAGUACAAUUUAACAGUUCUAAUAAUGGAUCAUUGUUGGUAACCUGCAGGUGUUUUUGACAGAAAACUCGAAACUAGAAUACUAAUAAUGGAAGUAGCUGGAGGCAGAAGAAAAUAUGGGAUGUGCAAACAUAAAAAGAAAUAGAAAACCUCAAAUAACAAAGGCGCUAUUCUUCUCCCAGGCUAAUCCAAGGCUCCAGAUUACUUUUAAGACCAAUGCUUAUUUUACCUCUGCAAUGAAAAUCAAACCAUUGAGAGCUAAUCAACUGAUUCCUUAGAGGAAGACUGAGGGGAGCAUUCUGAUGGCUGUCGCCUGCCUGACCUCCACAGCAAUGGAGAGGAACCUCCUGGGAACUCAACCAGGUAGUUCCUCCCUCCUCCAUUCCUCUGGGCAAUAAAGUUAUGUAAGGGUUGAUCUCUGUCA
This 824-nucleotide long non-coding RNA is filed under the name Calidris pygmaea (Spoon-billed sandpiper). RNAcentral describes it as "lncRNA (ENSCPGG00000017585.1)". The record is from RNAcentral. Lineage: Eukaryota; Metazoa; Chordata; Aves; Charadriiformes; Scolopacidae.